RNAcentral lists this ribosomal RNA (464 nucleotides) under uncultured Geobacteraceae bacterium. RNAcentral's name for it is "partial 16S ribosomal RNA". It matches the Rfam family "Bacterial small subunit ribosomal RNA", at positions 338 to 794 of the family's 1533-position model. Lineage: Bacteria; Pseudomonadati; Thermodesulfobacteriota; Desulfuromonadia; Geobacterales; Geobacteraceae. The record is from RNAcentral.
CCUACGGGGGGCUGCAGUGGGGAAUUUUGCGCAAUGGGGGCAACCCUGACGCAGCAACGCCGCGUGAGUGAUGAAGGCCUUCGGGUCGUAAAGCUCUGUCAGAGGGGAAGAAAUGCAGGUGGUGAACAACCAUUCUGUUUGACGGUACCCUCAAAGGAAGCACCGGCUAACUCCGUGCCAGCAGCCGCGGUAAUACGGAGGGUGCGAGCGUUGUUCGGAAUUAUUGGGCGUAAAGCGCGUGUAGGCGGUUUGUUAAGUCUGAGGUGAAAGCCCCGGGCUCAACCUGGGAAGUGCAUUGGAUACUGGCAGACUUGAGUACGGGAGGGGAGAGUGGAAUUCCCAGUGUAGGAGUGAAAUCCGUAGAUAUUGGGAGGAACACCGGUGGCGAGGGCGGCUCUCGGGACCGAUACUGACGCUCAGGGACGAAAGCGUGGGGAGCAAACAGGAUUAGAUCCCCCUGUAGU